This 438-nucleotide non-coding RNA is filed under the name uncultured Symbiodinium. Lineage: Eukaryota; Dinophyceae; Suessiales; Symbiodiniaceae. The record is from RNAcentral.
UGAAAGAGAACAAAAGAGAAACACAAAGAACACACGAACCUCUGUCUCCUAUAUCCUGUUGUUGGUUCCGUUCCCCUCACUUCCUUCUUUACUCUUUUCCCUUGUGCUUUAAUUAAACUUAACACAAUGGAAUGGAACGCAGUGGAAUGAAGCGUGGUUAAGUUUAAUGAAAAAGCACUAGAGGGAAAAGACAAAGAAGGGAAGUGAGUGUUCGUUUGUUGUUUAUUUCAAUUAAAUCGUGCUUCCAUUACAUUUAAUUGAAAUAAAACAAAGAACGAACGGGAACUGGAUUCAACUAUUAAUGUGAAGAGAGUAUUUUGUUCCAAUUAAUUUAAUAAAAACAAACGGAGUGCGUGUUUUAUUCAAUUAAUUGAAGCAAAAUAGGAACGUAACCAGGAUUCAACUAUAGGAUGUAGAGAGAAGUGUAGUGAAAGGAAU